AUUGAACGCUGGCGGCAUGCCUUACACAUGCAAGUCGAACGGCAGCGGACCUUCGGGUGCCGGCGAGUGGCGAACGGGUGAGUAAUAUAUCGGAACGUACCUUUCAGUGGGGGAUAACGUAGCGAAAGUUACGCUAAUACCGCAUAUUCUGUGAGCAGGAAAGCAGGGGAGUCGCAAGACCUUGCGCUGAUUGAGCGGCCGAUAUCAGAUUAGCUAGUUGGUGAGGUAAAGGCUCACCAAGGCGACGAUCUGUAGCGGGUCGUGAGAGGAUGAUCCGCCACACUGGAACUGAGACACGGUCCAGACUCCUACGGGAGGCAGCAGUGGGGAAGUUUU
RNAcentral lists this ribosomal RNA (336 nucleotides) under uncultured bacterium. Its description in RNAcentral is "bacterial SSU rRNA". It matches the Rfam family "Bacterial small subunit ribosomal RNA", at positions 30 to 366 of the family's 1533-position model. The record is from RNAcentral.